GACGAACCGUGCGAACGUUGUUCGGAUUCACUGGGCUUAAAGGGCGCGUAGGCGGAUCAACGAGUCCGGGGUGAAAUCUUUCGGCUCAACCGGAAAAUAGCCUUGGAUACCGUUGGUCUUGAGGGAGGUAGGGGCAUGCGGAACUUCCGGUGGAGCGGUGAAAUGCGUAGAUAUCGGAAGGAACGCCGGUGGCGAAAGCGGCGUGCUGGACCUCUUCUGACGCUGAGGCGCGAAAGCUAGGGGAG
Molecule: ribosomal RNA, 245 nt
Filed under: uncultured bacterium
Lineage: Bacteria
Description: partial 16S ribosomal RNA
Rfam family: Bacterial small subunit ribosomal RNA
Source: RNAcentral